AGCAGCCGCGGUAAUUCCAGCUCCAAUAGCGUAUAUUAAAGUUGUUGCAGUUAAAAAGCUCGUAGUUGAAUUUCGGGGUUAGUAGGUCGGUCGUGCCACCGGUAUGUACUGGCUUUACUGAUCCCUCCUUCUUGUAGAACCGUAAUGCCAUUAACUUGGUGUUGCGGGGAAACAGGACUGUUACUUUGAAAAAUUAGAGUGUUUAAAGCAGGCUAACGCUUGAAUACAUUAGCAUGGAAUAAUGAAAUAGGACGAUCGAUCCUAUUUUGUUGGCUUCUAGGGUUGACGUAAUGAUUAAUAGGGAUAGUUGGGGGCAUUAGUAUUCAAUUGUCAGAGGUGAAAUUCUUGGAUUUAUUGAAGACUAACUACUGCGAAAGCAUUUGCCAAGGAUGUUUUCAUUAAUCAAGAACGAAAGUUAGGGGAUCGAAGACGAUCAGAUACCGUCGUAGU
Molecule: ribosomal RNA, 450 nt
Filed under: uncultured Glomeromycotina
Lineage: Eukaryota; Fungi; Glomeromycota
Description: SSU rRNA
Rfam family: Eukaryotic small subunit ribosomal RNA
Source: RNAcentral